GCUUAUAAAUAAGGGGUUAUGGUUCCCAUUUGAAGCAAGACUAAUUCUCUUCUUCUUCCCAUUGAAAUUAGAGAGCAAAUCCUUUGUCUUGCACAUCAAGUGGAAAGCCAAACCCGGACAAUCUCCAACCCGGAUCAAGGUAAUCUUCAAGCAGGAUUAAGGAGCUUCCACCAAUGAAUUCAGGUACGCUUCCGCUUAUGUUUUAGUUCCAAAUAAUUCGAUAUGA
RNAcentral lists this long non-coding RNA (226 nucleotides) under Nicotiana benthamiana. Its description in RNAcentral is "long non-coding RNA (NBEN_LNC040347)". Lineage: Eukaryota; Viridiplantae; Streptophyta; Magnoliopsida; Solanales; Solanaceae. The record is from RNAcentral.